GAUGAACGCUGGCGGCGUGCCUAAUACAUGCAAGUCGAGCGAACAGACGAGGAGCUUGCUCCUCUGACGUUAGCGGCGGACGGGUGAGUAACACGUGGAUAACCUACCUAUCAGACUGGGAUAACUUCGGGAAACCGGAGCUAAUACCGGAUAAUAUAUUGAACCGCAUGGUUCAAUAGUGAAAGACGGUUUUGCUGUCACUUAUAGAUGGAUCCGCGCCGCAUUAGCUAGUUGGUAAGGUAACGGCUUAACAAGGCGACGAUGCGUAGCCGACCUGAGAGGGUGAUCGGCCACACUGGAACUGAGACACGGUCCAGACUCCUACGGGAGGCAGCAGUAGGGAAUCUUCCGCAAUGGGCGAAAGCCUGACGGAGCAACGCCGCGUGAGUGAUGAAGGUCUUCGGAUCGUAAAACUCUGUUAUUAGGGAAGAACAAAUGUGUAAGUAACUAUGCACGUCUUGACGGUACCUAAUCAGAAAGCCACGGCUAACUACGUG
This 497-nucleotide ribosomal RNA is filed under the name uncultured bacterium. Its description in RNAcentral is "partial 16S ribosomal RNA". It matches the Rfam family "Bacterial small subunit ribosomal RNA", at positions 28 to 507 of the family's 1533-position model. The record is from RNAcentral.